This 200-nucleotide ribosomal RNA is filed under the name uncultured bacterium. RNAcentral's name for it is "partial 16S ribosomal RNA". It matches the Rfam family "Bacterial small subunit ribosomal RNA", at positions 524 to 724 of the family's 1533-position model. The record is from RNAcentral.
UACGUAGGUGGCAAGCGUUGUCCGGAUUUACUGGGCGUAAAGAGCGCGCAGGCGGUCGCUCAAGUCGCGUGUGAAAGCCCCCGGCUCAACUGGGGAGGGUCACGCGAUACUGAUCGACUGGAAGGCAGGAGAGGGUAGUGGAAUUCCCGGUGUAGUGGUGAAAUGCGUAGAUAUCGGAGAGACACGUGACGGCGAAGCGG